UUUGUGUUCGAUUCGGUUUACUUUGGUUUUGUUUGUGUCUGUUCAGUUCAGUCGAGUUGAUUUUUUAGUUUUUUCUAGUUUAAUUACAAAUAUAAUUUUAAAAACAUAAACAAAUCAUAUUUGACACCAAAUCAUUAUUUUUUAUAUUUAAAUGUAAAAGUAAAACAUCACAAAUAAAAAUGUAAAAGAUGUAAUAAAAUAAUUUUAUACUAUUAUUCUCAAACCUUAUAUAAAUAUCAAUAGUAAUUUUUGAGUUUUGAUGUUAAUGUAUGAGGUUCAUAUUUUUAUUGUAUUGUUAGUUGUGUUUAUUCUCUUUAUUUAGACGUAAAAUAUAUAAAUUUAUAUUUAGUUGUUUAGGUUAAAUAGUUAAAU
RNAcentral lists this long non-coding RNA (372 nucleotides) under Brassica napus (rape). Its description in RNAcentral is "long non-coding RNA (BNAP_LNC003570)". Lineage: Eukaryota; Viridiplantae; Streptophyta; Magnoliopsida; Brassicales; Brassicaceae. The record is from RNAcentral.